UGAGUAACCUGCCCUUCACUCUGGGAUAACUCCGGGAAACCGGGGCUAAUACUGGAUAUGACUCGAACAGGCAUCUGUUUCGGGUGGAAAGAUUUUAUUGGUGGAGGAUGGACUCGCGGCCUAUCAGCUUUGUUGGUGAGGUAAUGGCUCACCAAGGCGACGACGGGUAGCCGGCCUGAGGAGGGGCGAUCGGCCACACUGGGACUGAGACACGGCCCAGACUUCCGAGGGNGCAGCA
This 238-nucleotide ribosomal RNA is filed under the name uncultured bacterium. Its description in RNAcentral is "partial 16S ribosomal RNA". It matches the Rfam family "Bacterial small subunit ribosomal RNA", at positions 118 to 353 of the family's 1533-position model. The record is from RNAcentral.